UGGAGAAGAACAGGCCCCCUUAAGACAGAUUUCCACAUAUAUGCCUAUAUAUCUUUUCUUAGGGUUAGUGUACCAGCUCGUUAUUCUGACUGCUGCCCCUUCUCGCCUUAUUAAAGGUGAUCUGUUCUUGUAUAGUGCCAGACUCCUUCUUUCUCCGAACCUCGCUUUCUCUAAUUCCCUUACUCUACAAGCAUAGGCCUUGGGGACUUCAGGGUGGAAAAGAAGUCUGCAAGUGUCAUUUUAGUGAAAUCUAAAUAUUGAAAGGACACUGGGGGCUGUGAUCCUGGUGGGUUUUCUUCGUCCUCCCCUCCACUCUGAGCCCAGGCGUCCACAGUGUCCCACCACCCUCACUGUUCUGGAUCACCGACCUUAGAUGGACGAGAAGAUGAGACCCCUGAUGGCCUGGAGCCAGCAUGUUAUGGGGGCCAGGGUGCUCACCUCCUCGAAGAGGGGCAGCCUCCAGCCCCCCAAGGAGUUGGUGGCUCUUUCACAAGCAGCUCGGCAGGCCCGCAUGGACUUCCCAGAAGCUUCACCUUCAUAGGGGUGGGAACACGCGAGGCUGAGAUCACGUGCGUCCUCAGAUGACCCAAGGCGCAGCCUCUGAUGUCACAGGUCACAGGUCGUGACCUCUAACGUCGCAGAGCGCGCUUGCCGGCGCGUCACGUCCUUAUGCACCCAUGUGGAUAGGCAGCUCUCGGUUUCCACACAGUGUGGUGCUCAGUUUGGUGGAGUGUGAUGUUUCCCCGAGGAAGUUGGUCAUGAUGCCGGCUAGUUCCUGGCGCGGGUGCCUGGUGGAGGCUGAGGGGACCUUUUCCUCCAUCCUGUGUUCUCCUCGGGGCCACAGCAUUCCGGAUGGAGAUGUCCACGGGGAGGGUGUGUCUCCUGGAACCCGAACGCAGGCAGACUGAAGACAAGAAAGAACAGUGCCAUGUAGCCAGUGAAGGAGACUUAUUUCUUCCUGUUAAAGAAACAAGGGAAAUCUGGCAUGCUGCAGUCCAAGGAAUUGCAGAGUCUGACACAACUGAACAACUAAAACCACAUGGAAAGAUAUUGGAGAGUAUUUCUUCAGGAAAAUUGAAAUCACAAGACUCAUUUUUAAACACAGGCAAGUCUAAGAGUUCAAGAGGAUUCCACAUUACCAGAAAAGAGAGAGUGGUAAAACCUGACGAGAACUGGACUUCAGGAUGGCUUUCUAGGCAUCCCUGUGAUGAAGUGGUGGACGUCCCAAAUAAUUGUAUGAUGUGAUUUUCAAGAGUCAAACCAAGGAGACUUGGCCAAAGGAAG
Capra hircus (goat) is the source of this 1284-nucleotide long non-coding RNA. NCBI's taxonomy places the organism in Eukaryota, Metazoa, Chordata, Mammalia, Artiodactyla, Bovidae. The record is from Ensembl.